AGAAUAUGUCAGCUUUCCCUAAAAGUGUUAUAUCUUAUUAAAUAUCCUCAUUCAGUAUUAGUAGAUGAUAUUCAUAUGUUUUGUGUCAAAUAUGUCUGGGAAAUUCUCAAUAUAAAAUAUUGAUUAGAUGCUUUUACUACAGGACUUAUCAGAGCCUUGACAUGUUACUUGAAUGCAGUGAAUUUCCAAAAACAAAAAAAUAGAAGAGAUGGUAACAUGCAGUGCUUCAUCAGCUGAGAAAAUCAGCCCUGGUUCCCUUCAUGCUAUAAUGCUGACCCUCAUCAGAUGAACCAAGAGAGUCUUUAUUCCUGGAAUUGAUUUCUGUACAAUGCAUUGGGGAGAUAUUAGACUUCUUCAAGACAUUGAACAUGCUGAAAAUGCCAAUUAAGUUCACUCUGGCAACUUCAAAAGGAGCCGUGGGUCAGCAGGCACAGUCAAAUCAGCCUUCAUAAGAAAGACAAGGAGAUAAAAACCAGUCAUUCAUGCCACGGGAGUACUGAGGAAGCUGCAUCAGAGGCCGUGCGGAGCCAGCCUCAUGGGACGGCAUCGCUGGUCCCUGCACCACGACCAGCCUCUCCCCGAGAAUUGGUCCCCAGGGAUCCGCCCUCGAUUUUGGAAGUAUUUCUGGUGCCUCAACUCAAAUCUGUCCCUCCAGUCUUCCUGAAGGUAAGCUUGUAGUUCUCUGUGUUCAUCUUUUCCUCACCAAAAUAUUUGUGGAUCGUUUUU
Molecule: long non-coding RNA, 726 nt
Filed under: Cervus hanglu yarkandensis (Yarkand deer)
Lineage: Eukaryota; Metazoa; Chordata; Mammalia; Artiodactyla; Cervidae
Description: lncRNA (ENSCHYG00000022321.1)
Source: RNAcentral